GACGGAUGGGUCCAUUACCUGGACGUGGAAGGCGGUGAAAGGUAGAAUUCAGACAAAUAAAUCAAAGGUUCUGGUGUACAAUCCUGCCUUCGUCAAGUACGUACACGACAAAUGGAUAGAGCACCAUGCGAAAUGGCCAUCCACAGGCAGUUUGGUUGUCCUGUUUGCAGUGCACAUUUGUGAUGAGGUGGACGUGUAUGGUUUUGGAGCUGACAAACAGGGGAUCUGGACCCACUACUGGAGCACGUCGUACACCGGACAGUCCAUAGGGAUACACGACACUUCAUUUGAAGAGCUUCUGCUUGAAAAACUGCAGUCCGAGGGGAUCAUCAACAUCCAUAGAGGCAAUGCGAGUCACUAGUAAACUAGAGGUCGGAGAUCUCAUGCCUU
Long non-coding RNA from Branchiostoma belcheri (Belcher's lancelet), 390 nucleotides. RefSeq lists it as uncharacterized. NCBI's taxonomy places the organism in Eukaryota, Metazoa, Chordata, Leptocardii, Amphioxiformes, Branchiostomatidae. The record is from RefSeq and is a predicted model, not a curated record. The transcript has 4 exons.